RNAcentral lists this ribosomal RNA (283 nucleotides) under Megamonas funiformis YIT 11815. Its description in RNAcentral is "partial 16S ribosomal RNA". It matches the Rfam family "Bacterial small subunit ribosomal RNA", at positions 493 to 776 of the family's 1533-position model. Lineage: Bacteria; Bacillati; Bacillota; Negativicutes; Selenomonadales; Selenomonadaceae. The record is from RNAcentral.
UCUUUUUAUUGUGUGCCAGCAGCCGCGGUAAUACGUAGGCGGCAAGCGUUGUCCGGAAUUAUUGGGCGUAAAGGGAGCGCAGGCGGGAAACUAAGCGGAUCUUAAAAGUGCGGGGCUCAACCCCGUGAUGGGGUCCGAACUGGUUUUCUUGAGUGCAGGAGAGGAAAGCGGAAUUCCCAGUGUAGCGGUGAAAUGCGUAGAUAUUGGGAAGAACACCAGUGGCGAAGGCGGCUUUCUGGACUGUAACUGACGCUGAGGCUCGAAAGCUAGGGUAGCGAACGGG